AUUCCCCUAGUAACUGCGAGUGAAGCGGGAAAAGCUCAAAUUUAAAAUCUGGUGGUCUUUGGCCAUCCGAGUUGUAAUUUAGAGAAGCGUCUUCCGCGCUGGACCGUGCACAAGUCUCCUGGAAUGGAGCGUCAUAGAGGGUGAGAAUCCCGUCUUUGGCACGGAUGCACCAGGGCUUUUGUGAUGCGCUUUCUAAGAGUCGAGUUGUUUGGGAAUGCAGCUCAAAAUGGGUGGUGAACUCCAUCUAAAGCUAAAUAUUGGCGAGAGACCGAUAGCGAACAAGUACCGUGAGGGAAAGAUGAAAAGCACUUUGGAAAGAGAGUGAAACAGUACGUGAAAUUGUUGAAAGGGAAACGCUUGAAGUCAGUCGCGUCGACCGAGACUCAGCCUUGCCUUGGCUUGGUGUAUUUCUCGGCCGACGGGUCAGCAUCAAUUUUGACCUUUGGAUAAUGGCGAGGGAAAUGUGACACCUUUAUGGUGUGUUAUAGUCUCUCGUCGCAUGCGAGGGUCGGGAUUGAGGAACUCAGCACGCGCCUUUUUUUUGGUGUCGGGGCCUUGCCCACGAUACGUGCUUAGGAUGUUGGCGUAAUGGCUUUAAACGACCCGUCUUGAAACACGGACCAAGGAGUCUAACAUGCCCGCGAGUGUUCGGGUGCAAAACUCGUGCGCGCAAUGAAAGUGAAAGUUGGGACCUCUGUCGUGGAGGGCACCGACGCCCGGACCAGACCUUCUGUGACGGCUCUGCGGUAGAGCGUGCAUGUUAGGACCCGAAAGAUGGUGAACUAUGCCUGAAUAGGGUGAAGCCAGAGGAAACUCUGGUGGAGGCUCGUAGCGAUUCUGACGUGCAAAUCGAUCGUCAAAUUUGGGUAUAGGGGCGAAAGAC
This 883-nucleotide ribosomal RNA is filed under the name Russula cf. sejuncta VH-2016. Its description in RNAcentral is "eukaryotic LSU rRNA". It matches the Rfam family "Eukaryotic large subunit ribosomal RNA", at positions 74 to 931 of the family's 3401-position model. Lineage: Eukaryota; Fungi; Basidiomycota; Agaricomycetes; Russulales; Russulaceae. The record is from RNAcentral.